AAUAUCAUCUAUUUCUGCACUUUAAUUGAAUAUAUCUUAUUAAACUCUUUUGGGCUUUAUUGUUUUAAAUCAUUUUUUGUAUGUGUUAUAGUCCAAUCUAAUUCAAUUUAGAUUAAUUCAAAAUUGGGUCAGUCCAAAAUCAAAUUUUAAAACCCAAAAUUUGAAACUGCAAUAUUUGAUUUUAAGGCUCAAUUAAUUAAAUUUUGAUUAAUUAAAAAGUGAAAAAUAAAACAAUAACAAAAAGCAAAAAAAAAAAAAAAGAAAAAAGCGAAGGGUCUGACUGCCAGCAGACUUUCCCUCACUUUCUCAUCUCAUUGAAUCAUAUUUCUUUUUUCCCAACUUUAUCACCACCAUUCUCAGCUAUCUAUUCUUUUUCUCAUGUUUUAACCCCUCUGACUUUAACACAAAUGAUCAAAGACUCACUGUCCAAAAUUCAGCAGACUCAACCAUCCCAAAUGCGACAAGCCAUUGCUGCUCACUGUAACUACAUUCCGAAAACUCCAAUCAUCUUUUCAAAUUGAUUUCUACUGGGGCUUCUAAUAACAGGGAGGAAUUUCACCAGCAAGAGGGGGCAAUUCACAAAAAGCAAAAGAGGUUUCUGUUUUCAAAAGAGAAAACCUUUUGUCUCCAUGACCACCAAGACCGAACCCCACCAAAAUAACAAAAAUCCCACAUAGCUCCAUCACCACCAAAAAAAAUCCCAGACCCCUAAUCGAGACAGGCCUCCACUAAAAAGCCUUGAACCAGCCAUCGCCUACCACCAAAAGCAACCCAGUCGAGACCAAACUUAAACUUUCCAAGCAACCAAAAUCACAAAGUCCCCACACAGCCCAAUUACCACCACCCUCGAGCAGCACAACCACCACAGCCCGACGACACCUCCCACAGAAACCCCCUGAGCUAUUCCCAAACCACCACUCACCAUCACCAGAUAAUCGAAACACCCACCUAAUAGCAAAAAAUAAAACCAAAACCACAAUAUCAAUCAAUGAAUCAACAACAAACAGCCAAGAAAGCACAAAGAAAACCACAAAGAAAAAGAUAAUAGCAGCAAUAAAAAAAUAACACAAAAACUAAAAUAAAAAGAGUUGGGAUUUUGGUGAAUUUUUCUUGGAAUUUGGUUUCUCGGUUUGAGAUAGAGGUGCACCAGUUUAGAGAGGAGAAAUUUGGAGUCAUUGUCAGGUUUGAACAGCAGUACCGUCAGCGCGACGGCAAUGGUGGCGGUCGACGGCGGUAAUGAUGUUUAGGGAAAUCUUAAGCGGUAGAGAUGAAUAGCAUGAAGAGGAGAAGAACAUACUUUGAUUUCAAAAGAUUCCAACGGCCGCAAGGAAUUUUCGCACCUUGAAGUUUUGGUUUAAAAUUUCAGAUCUAGGCAAAUCUAGAAGGUUUUAGGGAAAACUAAGGUUAGAACGGUGAUUAAGAGUUCAAAGGGAGAUCGGGAUGAAAUUUUUGAGAGGGGUUGGUAACUGAAAGUACCGAUUGACCGUGGUCAGCGCGGCGGUGGAUCAUCGGGAUCUGGGAUUGCUGGGAUCGGCGACUUUGCUAAGUUAGAGAGAGGAGUGAAAAGUUCUUAAAGAAGAGAGAAAUGAUGAAAAAUGAAGAAAAAAAACGUGUUUUUGGAAUUUAAAAAAGUCCCAAACGGUGUAGUUUAGGGAGGAGGAG
This 1662-nucleotide long non-coding RNA is filed under the name Durio zibethinus. Its description in RNAcentral is "long non-coding RNA (DZIB_LNC000574)". The record is from RNAcentral. Lineage: Eukaryota; Viridiplantae; Streptophyta; Magnoliopsida; Malvales; Malvaceae.